UUCGGCAGGCUCUUUUAGGAGGUUCAUGCCGAGGAAGAUUAAGAGGAUUGAGAAGGAAAAAUCAACAAGUAAUUCCAUUUGUUGCAUUCCAAAUGGGUAACGUAAACACGUGUGUCGCCAGACGAGGAACGAAUCCAAUGUUUCACGCCAAACGUUGAUAAUGAUUAAAACACCUUCUACGAUUAAAGAGCAAGAUAAAGUGAGUAGGAUAGUAGCAUCCCCCGAGAGUAAUACCCCUACGGCGACCAAAAAGAAUAGGAUUGAGCUUGUCAAUUUUAGUUUUUGAGGAAAAGUAAGGAUUGCGAAUGUUUCUUUAAAAGUAGGAAUGGGAUAACUGGCAGGUAUCUCUAACGGCUGUCGAUUCUUGGGUGGUAAGAAAUAUUGAUGCGAAAGCGAAUGUUUGUGAUGAUGGCCUUUUCUGUGGGUAGGGCGAGUAUCCACGCUUAACAAGUUGGGAUUAUUCGCACUCGGUUUUGGUAACUGAUCACUAAUAGUUACAGAGACAUUAUUAUUUAUAGGGUUUUGAAUCUGAAUAGCAGUCGGGAUGUUAUGAUUUUGAGUCAUUUUUCAUUCAUUUAGAUAUACUUUCAACAAUUCUAUAAUGGCUUUUUUAAAAACUCACUCACCCAUGCGUUUGGUGGAGUGGAUGGGUAAGACCAGUUGGUACUAGGCCCAAAUUGCAACAGUCUAAGAUAAAGAUAUUGACUGUAUCAGUAAAUGAUUAUAAAAAGCCAUAGUGUUGUACCAUCUUUGAGACAUCUACUUUUUAGUGACUAGGAAUAAAAAACGCUUAGUAGAAAACGGUUAAAGAUGAACAAACUUACCUUUCAGAGCCAUCGUGGAACGCCAUAUAUAUAGGGUUCAAACAUGCGGCUCAAAGUCAUCCAUACAAGGAUAUUAUGAGUAAUUUUUUUAAUUCGUUUAAUUAAAAAUAAAAUCAUCAUUAAGUUAUAAAAAAAAGGCCACUCCAAGGGCCUGAAUUCUCCUUCUACGACUUUUCCACAUGUACUCGAUAAGACAAUAAAUACACUUGGUAAAAU
This is a non-coding RNA of Schizosaccharomyces pombe (fission yeast), 1040 nucleotides long. Lineage: Eukaryota; Fungi; Ascomycota; Schizosaccharomycetes; Schizosaccharomycetales; Schizosaccharomycetaceae. The record is from the annotation of a GenBank genome assembly.